UUGAGGAUGAUGAUGAUCUAGAUAUUUCUGGUGGUCUCUAACCUGCUGCAGGAGUUCAGCUUGAGUAUGCCUGGAGAGGAUGCUGGAGUUAUUGCUACACAAUUCAAGAGUGGAACAUCUGUACUCAGGAAUCCCAGGCCAUACCGUGUUGUUAUAAAUAACAAAGUCAGUAACUAGUUCCUGUCAACAGCAUUGUCAGCUUUUAGUUGCUGUCAACAGCAUUGUCAGCUGUUAGUUCCUGUCAACAGCAUUGUCAGCUGUUAGUUCCUGUCAACAGCAUUUUCAUCUGUUAGUUCCUGUCAACAGCAUUGUCAGCUGUUAGUUCCUCUCACAAUUAUUGUCAGCUGUUAGUCACUGUCAACAGCAUUGCCAGAAGUUGGUUACUGUCGACUGCAUUGCCAGUAGUUACUUUCUGUUAACUGUAUUGUCAGCUCAUGAUUCCUGUCAACAACAUUGUCAGUAGUUGCUUACUGUCAGCAGCAUUGCCAGUUGUUAGUUAAUGUCAAUAGCAUUGUCAGCUGUUAGCUGCAGUUAGCAGCUUUACCAGAUUUAGUUGCUGACUACAUUAAUAUCAGUAAUUACUCAGAGCUCAGAGCUGCUAAUGAUAUCAACAGCAGUACUAUCUGCUAAUUGAUGUCAACAGCAGUACGAGCUGUAAUUUGCUGUCAUCAGCACUAUCAACCGUAAUUUGUUGUCAAAGCAGUACCAGCUGUAAUUUGCUGUCAACAGCAAUAUCAGCUGUAAUUUGCUGUCAUCAGCACUGUCAGCUGUAAUUUGUUGUCAAAGCAGUAACAGCUGUAAUUUGCUGUCAACAGCAAAAUCAGCUGUAAUUUGCUGUCAUCAGCACUAUCAGCUAUAUUUGUUGUCAAAGCAGUACCAGCUGUAAUUUGCUGUCAACAGCACUAUCAGCUGUAAUUUGCUGUCAUCAGCUCUAUCAUAAGUUGCAGCAAUAAUGUCAACAUCAAUGGAUCUAUCAGUGACUUUAAAUUAAUAUUAUAUAUUUAUUAUAUUAUUAUAUGUUGUUGCUGUCAAUCUAUCUCUUUUUGUUUAUCUCGGCAUUGUUAAAAAUAAAUGUCAGAAUUGUAUCAACAGAAAUAUAAAAUUUAUCGAACUUCUUUUAA
Molecule: long non-coding RNA, 1121 nt
Organism: Eurytemora carolleeae
Lineage: Eukaryota; Metazoa; Arthropoda; Copepoda; Calanoida; Temoridae
Exons: 2
Source: RefSeq, a predicted model, not a curated record